RNAcentral lists this signal recognition particle RNA (308 nucleotides) under Vombatus ursinus (common wombat). RNAcentral's name for it is "Metazoan signal recognition particle RNA (ENSVURG00010020502.1)". It matches the Rfam family "Metazoan signal recognition particle RNA". From Rfam's summary of the family: The signal recognition particle (SRP) is a universally conserved ribonucleoprotein. It is involved in the co-translational targeting of proteins to membranes. The record is from Rfam by way of RNAcentral. Lineage: Eukaryota; Metazoa; Chordata; Mammalia; Diprotodontia; Vombatidae.
ACUGGGUAUUGUGGCCUAUGCCUGUUGUACCUACUACCACUCUGGUUGAGGCUGGUGGCAUUCUUGAUCUGGGGAGUUCUGAGCUACAGUGGGCUAAGCCAGUUGGGUGUCUGUACCAAGUUGGGCACCAAAAUUAUAAGCCCCUGGGAACAGGGUGCGGUGAGACCAAAAGCCUGACUAAGGAGGAGCAAACUGGCUCAGAUUGGAAACAGAGCCUAUGAAAACUCCCGUGCCAGUCAGUAGUGGAGUUGGGCCUGUGUGUGGCCUCUGUAUUUUCAGCUUGGUGAUAUAGGGAGAGCCAGCCUUAA